UCGGUAGAGCAUCAGACUUUUAAUCUGAGGGUCCAGGGUUCAAGUCCCUGUUCGGGCGGUAGAAUUUUUAUCCAGGUACAAAUGUUCUACUACAUCAAAUAAUUUCCUUCUAUACCAAUUUAAUCGAUUUCCUGCUGCACCAGUUCGUACCAUACCGGUUUUAAUAAAUUACCUGCUGUGCCAGUUCAUACCAUACCUGACCUUACGUAUGUCCGAUAGAGAGUACUGCCAGAAGGAAAAUAAUACCAACAACAAUACACGUCCUGAAUCAUUCCAUGCUCAUGAACACUCAAACAUUAAUUUCACAGCGACUCACUGAACGGCGGACUGUUAUUACAGACAUUGAGGCAUCCCAUUAUCCGCCUGUUGCUGUUGUUGUUUGUGAAAGAACGUAACUAAUAAGGGGAUUAAGUUCCCCCCUUAAGCGAAUCAGAGAAACGCUGUCAUUUCACCAAGGUAAUCAUAGGUAUUUUCCCAAGCUGGAACGCUGCGCAACGCAUAUAAAGCUAAGCGCUGGAGGCAGGUAAUGGUAGCACUGUGCCCUCCUGACUCACAGCGAUGGCUCACAUUAUCAAGCUGUACGUGGUGCUUUCCCUGCUGCUGCCGGCGACACAAGCUCAGUAUUUCGUGUACAACCCAAAAUGGAGUCCGAGAGCCUUCACAGACGAGCGCAAAGCUGUCAUGCCAAGCGACCUGGCACCGAUGGACGAAAUCAUCAAAGCCAACGAAGUUCAAG
Gadus macrocephalus (Pacific cod) is the source of this 736-nucleotide long non-coding RNA. RefSeq lists it as uncharacterized. The record is from RefSeq and is a predicted model, not a curated record. The transcript is spliced from 3 exons. NCBI's taxonomy places the organism in Eukaryota, Metazoa, Chordata, Actinopteri, Gadiformes, Gadidae.